Molecule: ribosomal RNA, 397 nt
Filed under: uncultured bacterium
Lineage: Bacteria
Description: partial 16S ribosomal RNA
Rfam family: Bacterial small subunit ribosomal RNA
Source: RNAcentral
AUACGUAGGUGACAAGCGUUAUCCGGAUUUACUGGGCGUAAAGGGCGCGUAGGCGGCCCGGUAAGUCUGGAGUGAAAGUCCUGUUUUUAAGAUGGGAAUUGCUUUGGAUACUGUCGGGCUUGAGUGCAGGAGAGGAAAGUGGAAUUCCCAGUGUAGCGGUGAAAUGCGUAGAGAUUGGGAGGAACACCAGUGGCGAAGGCGACUUACUGGACUGUAACUGACGCUGAGGCGCGAAAGUGUGGGGAGCAAACAGGAUUAGAUACCCUGGUAGUCCACACUGUAAACGAUGAAUGCUAGGUGUAGGGGGUAUCGACCCCUUCUGUGCCGCAGUCAACACAAUAAGCAUUCCGCCUGGGGAGUACGGCCGCAAGGUUGAAACUCAAAGGAAUUGGCGGGG